UGAUCCCCAAGAGAAAAAAACUAUCGAAGAAUUGAACUACAUGUCUGUCUUGCUAGCUCAGAGGAAAUCUGAGAUAGCUGUGUUACAAGCUCAAUUGCAACAGGCCUCUCAGAGCACAAGUACGGGACCAGGUGCGAUAGAGGACCUGCAGGCUGAAAACGCUCAGCUUAAGACUGAGAUAGCCGUGUUGCAAGCUCAAUCGCAACAGGCCUCUCAGGGCACAAGUACGGGACCAGGUGCCAUGGAGGAACUGCAGGCUGAAAAUGCUCAGCUUAAGGCUGAGAUAGCCCUGUUGGAAGCUCAAUCGCAACAGGCCUCUCAGGGCACAAGUACGGGACCAGGUGCGAUGGAGGAUCUGCAGGCUGAAAAUGCUCAGCUUAAGACUGAGAUAGCCGUGUCACAUGCACAAUUGCAACUGGCCUCUCAGGGCACAAGUACGGGACCAGGUGCGAAGGAGGACCUGCAGGCUGAAAACGCUCAACUUAAGUCUGAGAUGGCGGAUUUCAAGAAACACGUGGAGGACCUGAUUCAGCAAAUGCUAACUGAUCAACGUGCUGCCAUGAAACGACUUGACCGGCUUCUCUUCAAGCCCUAAUCCGACGACUGCUGUUGCCCUCUGCAUGUCGACUCAUGCUUCUAUAGCUUACCCAGAGGCAUAUUUAAGAUUUCGAGCAAAUGGUUGCACUAUUAUGAAAAGGAUGAAUAUAACAUACUAAUUUAAUCGAUUUGACCUUGAGGUUCUUAUAAAAAAAAAGAAUAAUAAUAAUGAUCACCAAACAUAAACAAUGGACCAAAAUUUGGACAAUUUUUUUUUUU
Molecule: long non-coding RNA, 816 nt
Filed under: Capsicum annuum
Lineage: Eukaryota; Viridiplantae; Streptophyta; Magnoliopsida; Solanales; Solanaceae
Description: long non-coding RNA (CANN_LNC012283)
Source: RNAcentral